UAUCACUAACGUUAGCUAUAGUGACAGUUGCUAACGGAAUGUGACUCGAGUUGUUACAGACUCUUCUGUUGCUAUGCAAUGUAAGCAGUGUCCAUGUAGAGACCCUCCUGACUCAUUACUGGCUUCAUCACGGUCACCAGGGAAAAAGCUGGCCCUGCCUCCACCCCCAGUGUGUGUGUAUUUUUAAGACUUCAGGAUACAGAUGCUGAGGAGGACUACUAGAGGCAUGAAAAUUGGAAUAUUGACCGUCAUUGAAGACGACCUCGUCAUGAAAGCACCGGACACUGUCACCAAUAUCGCCAUCGCCCUGGAAGAGACUGUUGUUCUACAGGACAUCAAGGAUCUUCCAUCUGCACUGGCCUACCUAUUCGGACUCCUGCAUAGCAUUAAUAUGUUACCCGAAAGAACUGAAAUAUACGUUCGAGGUGUUGCAAAAGAUUUUCCUGGGCCUUGAUGCUGGCAGUUGUUCUGCAAGAACGCAGUCUUUCAAGAUGAAGCUGCAUGCCCUUGGGGAUUUAACAUAGGGGUGCCAAUACUUAUGACCCCUGUAUUUUAAGAAAGAACAUUUAUUUAUUUAUGAUACAUUAUUCAUUCACAAAGAAAAUUG
Alosa sapidissima (American shad) is the source of this 607-nucleotide long non-coding RNA. RefSeq lists it as uncharacterized. NCBI's taxonomy places the organism in Eukaryota, Metazoa, Chordata, Actinopteri, Clupeiformes, Clupeidae. The transcript has 2 exons. The record is from RefSeq and is a predicted model, not a curated record.